UACGUAGGGUGCAAGCGUUAAUCGGAAUUACUGGGCGUAAAGCGUGCGCAGGCGGUUCGCUAAGACCGAUGUGAAAUCCCCGGGCUUAACCUGGGAAUGGCAUUUGGGACUGCAAGGCUUGAGUGCGGCAGAGGAGACUGGAAUUCCUGGUGUAGCGGUGAAAUGCGCAGAUAUCAGGAGGAACACCGGUGGCGAAGGCGGGUCUCUGGGCCGAUACUGACGCUGAGGAGCGAAAGCGUGGGGAGCGAACAGG
Molecule: ribosomal RNA, 253 nt
Filed under: uncultured bacterium
Lineage: Bacteria
Description: partial 16S ribosomal RNA
Rfam family: Bacterial small subunit ribosomal RNA
Source: RNAcentral